UACGAACCGUCCAAACGUUAUUCGGAAUCAUUGGGCUUAAAGGGUACGUAGGCCGUGUCGUAAGUCGGGUGUGAAAUCCCUCGGCUCAACCGAGGAACUGCGCCCGAUACUGCGGUGCUUGAGGGAGACAGGGGUGAGCGGAACUGAUGGUGGAGCGGUGAAAUGCGUUGAUAUCAUCAGGAACACCAGUGGCGAAAGCGGCUCGCUGGGUCUCUUCUGACGCUGAGGUACGAAAGCUAGGGUAGCGAACGGG
RNAcentral lists this ribosomal RNA (253 nucleotides) under Botrimarina sp. RNAcentral describes it as "partial 16S ribosomal RNA". It matches the Rfam family "Bacterial small subunit ribosomal RNA", at positions 524 to 776 of the family's 1533-position model. RNAcentral also lists the same sequence under 1 other name. The record is from RNAcentral. Lineage: Bacteria; Pseudomonadati; Planctomycetota; Planctomycetia; Pirellulales; Lacipirellulaceae.